Non-coding RNA from Camellia sinensis, 1662 nucleotides. Lineage: Eukaryota; Viridiplantae; Streptophyta; Magnoliopsida; Ericales; Theaceae. The record is from RefSeq and is a predicted model, not a curated record.
UUAUUGGGAUGUGUUUCUCGAGUAAUGAUGCUCCUUUCCAAGCAACUUUCUUGUGGGGGGACACAGAGUUAAAAAAAGAAAUGUUCAUAUGUUCAAUUGGAAGGAGGUGUCUACAAGCAAGGAACAAGGUGGGCUUUGGUUAGAAGAAUUAGAGAUGUAAAUGAUUGUUUGCUGGUGAAGUGGUGGAGGAGAUUUGGAUCUGAAGACAAUGCUUUAUGGAAACGUUUGAUUUGCAGCAUUUACAGAGUUGAGAGAGGUAGAUGGUUCCCAUCUUAUAGAGCUAAUUCUUCUUUUUCAAGGAUUUGGAGUGAAUUCGCUUCUGGAUUGAUAAAUGGCUUGGCAAUGUUAGCCUUAAAGAUGAGUUUCCUAGACUUUUUAGCCUUUCAACAGAUAAGGAGUGAUCCUUGAGGAUGUUUAUCCAGAGGAAAGAGCUCAGGCAAAUGGAAUCUAUGCUUUAGAAGAUCUCGCUUUGGUUGGGAGCAUAAGGGGGUGGUCAGAAUUUAUGGAUUGCUGUGUGCAGCUCCAUCGCUUAGAGUUGGUUUUGCUGAUCACAUUAGAUGGGCUGCCUCAUCCUCAGGUUGUACUGAUGCUUUCAAAAAUGGGAUCUUGUUCGAUGGAUGUUUUUAGAAGGGUUGCACUGAUGCUUUCAGGACUGGGAUCUUCUUAGGUGGAUGUUCUUAGAAUGGCAACCUCUUGAUGGGAAAAGAGACAAGCGAAAAUCUUCAUAAGAACUUUGAUAUAUUUUUUUUAUUCUUUUUCUACUUUGUUCAUUUUCUUUUCCAUUCCUUUCCUUCUAUAUUUUUUAUUUUUUUGUCGGUUUUUCUGUAUUGUACUUCAGCUAUUAUUUCGUGUCUCAAUAUUUUGCAUUAGUUUUUUUGUUUUUGGCUUAUUAUAAAAACCUUUUCUUGUUAUCUUAUUUAUUCAUUAGCAAAGCAUGGUUAAGCUACAUUGCUUAGAAUUUCAUAUGUCAAUUUGAAUAACCUUUUGUCCCCAGAAAAUGCCAUUAGCUUUUUUUAGUAAUUAGGCCAUCUAUCGGAUACUUGCGGCUGUAACAUAUAAGUUCUGUUAAAUCACUCAAAGUUCCUAGCAUAAGGAUACUUUUCUACACCUCUGGAUAUAGGGCACAGUCAUGGUGCUAAAUCUACUGAUCUGUAUGACUUAGCUUCUAUUUGGUCAAUCAAUGUGAUCGAUAUAUCAUGUUCGACUACAAAAUGUGGACAACAAUUAAAAGAUUCCCAAGAUAAAAGAACAAAGCCAAUGAAACUAUUUCAUACUGAACUACAAAUCAAAAGGAAGAGCAUAGAAGUGUGUAAUUCGAGAAAUGAGAACUGCUCUUUCAAAAAAUUCAAGAAAUAAGAACCAUGUUCCAGGAGCUUGGCCCAAGUUGUUUGAUAACAGAGUAAAUAGAAACAAUUUUUGUAUUAAGGAAGCAAAUUCUAAAUAAACCACAAACACGGAAUGGCAAUAGAGUGAUGUCAUGCCAGUUGAGACACAUAUUCCAUACCUACGAUUUUCUUUAUGGUUUGGCCUUGGAUAUAUUGUCUAUAGCAAUUUCAUCUUGUAAUGCUGCUCAUAUUUGUAAUCACUGGGUGUAGUUGUUAUAUUCAUUGAUUUCUGUUAUUAUUACUGAAAUUAGUGUUAGGUUUGACAAAUGGCUUAUAC